Molecule: long non-coding RNA, 2508 nt
Organism: Melospiza melodia melodia
Lineage: Eukaryota; Metazoa; Chordata; Aves; Passeriformes; Passerellidae
Exons: 2
Source: RefSeq, a predicted model, not a curated record
CCCCGCCCCGCCCGCCGCCGCUCCCCCGCCCGGGCCCUGCCCAUGGCUGUCCUCGCUCCGGGAAGGGUCCAGUCGUAGGCACAGCCCAGCCGUGUCUGCUCCCUUGCACGGAGCUUUGCUGAGCCGAAAAUCUGCUCCAGAACUUUUGGAGAAAACACUAAAGCAGCACAAGGCCAGCUAACUUUACAACUUGAGCCGUGCAGACAAGGUGCAAGGAAGAGGAAUGGAAACGCCCUGGACGUCAAGGCUCCAGUGACAGGGAGAGGAUUGAUUUUUGGGUCUAGGGCGGAUUCCUGGGCAGUUCUCAGGCCACUGAAAGUGUGCCCCAGAUGGAGCUUCCUCCAUUCAGCUGCAAAAUAGCAAUGGUAACAUAAGUAUACAAGGCUUAACUGUACAACAGCAGCAAGACCUUCUCUGGAGGACAGACAUCCUUGGGCCUAUGCUCAGUCCCCCUUCUGAUGCCUGCCUUGGGAGCUGAGUGCCCCACACUUCAUCUCCAGGCAUGAUUCUUCACUGUCUAAAAACAUCGGGAGCAAACUGUAAAACAGUCAACAGCUACAUCAUGUAGAAAGGAACAUCUUCCCAGUUCCAUUCCUAGAAAUCUUAUGUUCAAUAUUUCUGGUGGCACAAGUAGCUCCUGGUUGCAUAGGACAUGCCAGAUCACCCUUAUUCAGGAUAUUGGCUCUGAAGUAUCACACUUUGAAGCGAACAUCUAUAGCACGGUAUUUUGCACUAAGAGCAGAAUUAAACAUAGCACAGAUACAUAUUUGUAUUUCCAUAGAGCAUUCAGAAUUUAACUUCCUAGAAAACUGUGUAUAAAUGGGUAAAUGCCUCGAUAGCAAAGAUAACAGGCAUACACUGUCACAUACCUAAUCCAAUUUCAUAUUCAUUAUGGCAACUGUUCUUAACCGAAGGCAAAAGACUGCAAAAUGUACUCUGUUACCAGGAGAGGAAUGGUUAAGGCACAUGCAGCACAGAAUAUUCACACAGGCGCACCCCAUAUCAGUGGCAAAAAAUUACUUAUGCUCCUGAGAGAAACAAAUUGUUCAGAAAAAGACAAUGAAACUGUUUCAGACUGCAACAUCACAUCAGAGCAUUCCUCCAACACAGUGAUGGAAAAGUGGUGGUGUACAGGCACAGCAAACAUCUUUCAACUGAGGCUGAAAGUAAAAGUAGAAUUCUACCCAAGUGCAUGUUAUAUUAAACAGAUUCUUAGGUGUAGGAACAGAUCAUUGCCCUCAAGUUCUGGACUGCUCUGCUCUAUGAACACAGCUAUCCCCCCCCUGCCUAGCUCUGGGUCCCUGCACUUCUCAUGAAACCUGAAAGCACAUUUCCACUGAGAUCAGAGGAAGCCCACACGAGUGAGGAAUGAACAGCAAGUGAUCCCCAGCCCGGCUUUGGUCCUGCUGCCACACUGCAAGCAGGCACUGCAGGGCUGCAGAGCUGCGAUCAUGGCCCUGGCACUGCCCAGCCCAGCUCUCCUGCGCCCUGCUGGAGCAGCAGCCUCUGCUGCAGGCUGGCUGCAGGUGGGAGGCACGGCCGCUGCUCCAGCAGCCACUGCACUGCUUGGGAGACUUGGGGUCAGCACAUGAGCAAAUAAUGGUGAUGGAAAUAGCAGUGAUUUUAAGUAUUCUGCUGCUUGCAACACAGUUCCUUCUGAAAGUAAUACCCACAACAGUAAUACCUCAAAAUACUCUGUUUUGACAUCACUGGCUCAGAAAGUUAAUGUAAAUUGGAACAGACUCAGUCAGCAUUAAAAAAAAAAAGUAAUUAAAAAAACCCCCUCAAGCUAGGCAAAACACCCCCAAAGUAUUAUUUGGUGAAAAGUUUUGAAAUACUCUUUGUUUAUACUAUCGUGAAAAUAAAGCAGAACUUCAAUAUUUUCAACAAUAAAAUAAUUACAAUUCCUGAGUACAAGCUACUCUUGUCACUCCUACCUAAAGCCCAAAGUAAGUCUUUUGCAGAACUAGUAUGACUGCAGUGAAAUGAAUUAAUGUUCUAAAGAAAAGCAAAAGAGAAACUGGCAUAUAUAUGCCAAUUUAUUUUUCUUUUUAAAUAAAAUAUUAUGGUUUAUGUGAUACUGUACCAGAGAGAAUUGUACUAAAAAAGAAACUAAAGAAUUAGGCAAGUGUAUGUUUUUCUUUCUCAACGCCUCUUCAAUGUCGUGCAUUAAAUAAGUAAACUUGAGUAAUCUCUGCUAUACUUUUAGUGCAUAUACAUGACGUCAUUAUGUGUUUUUUUAUUACAAUGCAUUUAUCUCAGGAGUACCUUAAAGAUGAAAAGUGAGCCAAAGUAUUUAUAACCUUCUGUACAUGAUGCUUGAAAGGAGUCCAACAAAUUCUUCUCUCAAGCCAUUCUCUUAAAGGUCCUUCAGUAAAAUUAUGGCUUUGAAAGUCUACUUUUGAAUCGUUUUUUCUUUCAGAGUAGAUGGAGUAUGAAGUAUUUGCAAUUUUGAGUAAGUUUUCUUUUUUUUCCUGCUGGUUUAAUAAAAGCAAGUAUCUAUCUACA